UGGGGAAUAUUGCACAAUGGGCGCAAGCCUGAUGCAGCCAUGCCGCGUGUAUGAAGAAGGCCUUCGGGUUGUAAAGUACUUUCAGUCGGGAGGAAGGUGGUAAGGUUAAUAACCUUAUCAAUUGACGUUACCGACAGAAGAAGCACCGGCUAACUCCGUGCCAGCAGCCGCGGUAAUACGGAGGGUGCAAGCGUUAAUCGGAAUUACUGGGCGUAAAGCGCACGCAGGCGGUUUGUUAAGUCAGAUGUGAAAUCCUCGGGCUCAACCUGGGAACUGCAUGUGAUACUUGCAAGCUUGAGUCUCGUAGAGGGGGGUAGAAUCCCAGGCGUAGCGGUGAAAUGCGUAGAGAUCGGGAGGAAUACCGGUGGCGAAGGCGGUCCCCGGGACGAAGCCUGACGCUCAGGUGCGAAAGCGUGGGGAGCAAACAGG
RNAcentral lists this ribosomal RNA (429 nucleotides) under Chloroflexota bacterium. RNAcentral's name for it is "Chloroflexi bacterium partial 16S ribosomal RNA". It matches the Rfam family "Bacterial small subunit ribosomal RNA", at positions 355 to 776 of the family's 1533-position model. Lineage: Bacteria; Bacillati; Chloroflexota. The record is from RNAcentral.